Molecule: long non-coding RNA, 553 nt
Filed under: Chrysemys picta bellii (western painted turtle)
Lineage: Eukaryota; Metazoa; Chordata; Testudines; Emydidae
Description: lncRNA (ENSCPBG00000003797.1)
Source: RNAcentral
AUGUCUACAGUGUCCCAGGGUCUUGCCAAAGCCCAGCUGGAUCGAGAUACGAUUAGAAGAGAUGCCAAGAGAAAUCUAUCAGAUCACAAGGACUAUAUAGAGAGAAUGUCGAAGGAGAUGUCUGAGGUGAGACGGGACCAUGACAGACUCCAGGAGGUCUUGAGCAGGGUGCAGGAGGAGUUACGGAACAUCACAGAAUUCACCUCCAUAAAAUGUCCACCUGGCUGGCAGCAGUUUCAGAAAAGUUGCUACUUCUUUUCAACAUCGACUAAAUCCUGGCAGAAUGCUAAGCAGUUCUGUACCGAUCAAGGGUCUCACCUGGUUAUUGUUAACACCAAAGAGGAACAGGUAAGCCAGCCACUCAGAUUCCUAUUGUGUAUCAUGCAGAAUGGAAGGAAUUAAGCUCAAGGGGCCAUGUUCUGUGCUGUUACACCAGGGUGAAUCUGGAGUUUCUCUAGAUUUACCCCAGCAUAACUGAGAUCACAGUCUGGCCCAAGUUCUCCAGGAAUUUAGCAAUAUCUUUGGGUGUAGCUUGCUGCUCAAGGGACAUUGA